UGAGGGCUUCCUUCAAAAACCUUGGCCUGCGAUGGCCUGGAUUGCAGGAGUCCUAUGAUGUUGGCUAGUCGGUGUAAUUGUCGGGCUUUUCCCUUAAUCCAUUUAUGCCUGAGGUUGCAAUUUUUUGAAUUUUUGCAAUUAGACCUUGGCGAUGACCUUGAGCAGUAGGAUAUAAAUAACUCCCUUGUGUUUAGCAUUCCAGUAAUGGAACACUAGCCAUAAUAAACCGUUCCAAAAAUGCGUUCUAAUGGCUCUCAAGCAAGGUCCACUUGCAGUGAAAUAAACCAGAGGUUUGAAUCAUGGCUUGAUACGAAAUUAUUGGAAAGAAUAUGGCGAUGACAUCCACAAUGCCGGGUAAGAAGACGAAAUUACAAGCAGGAUGAAAAAUUUGUUCAAUGAAACACAGCUAUUAAGUGGCUGACCUAAUAAGUGUUAUGUAUAAGUGACUCAUCCAUUGUAGCUUCUGGGACUCAACUUUAGGAUCAUCGUCAUAUGCAGCCUGGAGCUAGCCAUAUUUGAAGAGCUAGGAAGGAGGCACAGUGAUUGACAAUCUCCUUUCUCCUCAACUAGAAUGUCAUUUCCUUUUUUAAAACUAAUUUAAAUCCCAUCUACAUUCAAUUGCUUGUCUAAAAUAAAACCCAACUCCUCUCUUAAAGACUUUA
Molecule: long non-coding RNA, 662 nt
Filed under: Homo sapiens (human)
Lineage: Eukaryota; Metazoa; Chordata; Mammalia; Primates; Hominidae
Description: non-protein coding LINC01919:9
Source: RNAcentral